UUCCCCCCUCAGACACGAAAAGCAUCCGUGGAGCUCAAGUUUGAGGUGAAACCAGGCUCAGAGUCCACCUGUCCUUGCUGAUCCAUGGAUUUCUGUGUGACCAGGUUACACCUAUGGAGCCGUGGCCCCGACUACCAACAGCUUGCUCAUCCCUCUACUCACACAGUCACCCGUCCCCUCACUCUCAUUUAUGCUUCACCUGUGAAUGGUGGUCCUGAGACAGCCAGUGCUGGAGCCCGUGUGAGCCUCGGGGCUCCUCCCACUC
Diceros bicornis minor is the source of this 265-nucleotide long non-coding RNA. RefSeq lists it as uncharacterized. The transcript is spliced from 3 exons. The record is from RefSeq and is a predicted model, not a curated record. Lineage: Eukaryota; Metazoa; Chordata; Mammalia; Perissodactyla; Rhinocerotidae.